GUUUAUAUCAAUCUUUAUUUGGUGAUUUCUCGCUGAUUCUUUAUGCAGCACGAUACCUUCUCCAUCUCAUGAUUGGUAGUUAAUGUGAAACUGUCAACCUUCAUAUUUAACUUGAAACAAAAUUGAUGGUAUUGCUUUACACUAUACAUUUGGUACUUUACUGCUCAUUUUUUCUUUCUCCUGCAAGCCUUACUUUUUAUUCUAAAUAGUUGAUUAACAGGGGAGAACUAGACUCCUACUCCUACAUAUGUCUAACUAUGAUUUAUGGGAACUUAAGUAAAGAAAAAGCCUUCAUUUGUUGAUACGAAUUCUUUGUAUAUCGGUUCAUGCCUAUCAAAUAUGAAUAUUCAUUUUUACUAACCUGCGUCUUUCUUUUCAUUCAUAGGUCUGACUUUAUUUUGUUGAUGCUAAGAUCACUUUCUGCACAAAAGUUGUCACAUUUUCCCCAUGUAAUUUGCAUUUGUGCACGAAAGCUUAUAUAUCUGCUUUUAUCCAUACUCCUGCUUGCGUAAAAGAAUCUGUGUUUUUAUUAGGAUCAAUUGACACAUUUUGCAGUGUUAUGUAGAUAUUUUUUGCGCUGGGGAAUUGUGGUAUGUACUCAUCUUUCGUUUACUUACCCCCUAUUUGGCCCCCCUUUUUUUCCAAUUUUUAAUGUUUGGAAUAGUGGUUUUUUUUUUUUUUUUUUUAAGAAUGUGUGG
RNAcentral lists this long non-coding RNA (698 nucleotides) under Olea europaea subsp. europaea. Lineage: Eukaryota; Viridiplantae; Streptophyta; Magnoliopsida; Lamiales; Oleaceae. The record is from RNAcentral.